RNAcentral lists this ribosomal RNA (429 nucleotides) under uncultured bacterium. Its description in RNAcentral is "bacterial SSU rRNA". It matches the Rfam family "Bacterial small subunit ribosomal RNA", at positions 355 to 776 of the family's 1533-position model. The record is from RNAcentral.
UAGGGAAUCUUCCACAAUGGGCGAAAGCCUGAUGGAGCAACGCCGCGUGGGUGAAGAAGGUCUUCGGAUCGUAAAACCCUGUUGUUAGAGAAGAAAGUGCGUGAGAGUAACUGUUCACGUUUCGACGGUAUCUAACCAGAAAGCCACGGCUAACUACGUGCCAGCAGCCGCGGUAAUACGUAGGUGGCAAGCGUUAUCCGGAUUUAUUGGGCGUAAAGGGAACGCAGGCGGUCUUUUAAGUCUGAUGUGAAAGCCUUCGGCUUAACCGGAGUAGUGCAUUGGAAACUGGGAGACUUGAGUGCAGAAGAGGAGAGUGGAACUCCAUGUGUAGCGGUGAAAUGCGUAGAUAUAUGGAAGAACACCAGUGGCGAAAGCGGCUCUCUGGUCUGUAACUGACGCUGGGGUUCGAAAGCGUGGGUAGCAAACAGG